This 518-nucleotide ribosomal RNA is filed under the name uncultured bacterium. Its description in RNAcentral is "bacterial SSU rRNA". It matches the Rfam family "Bacterial small subunit ribosomal RNA", at positions 28 to 533 of the family's 1533-position model. The record is from RNAcentral.
GAUGAACGCUAGCGAUAGGCCUAACACAUGCAAGUCGAGGGGCAUCACAUGAAGUAGCAAUACGGAUGGUGGCGACCGGCGCACGGGUGAGUAACACGUAUGCAACCUGCCUUCAACAAGGGGAUAACCCGUUGAAAGACGGACUAAUACCCUAUAACACAGGGGUCCCGCAUGGGAAUAUUUGUUAAAGGACAACCGGUUGAAGAUGGGCAUGCGUUCCAUUAGCUAGUUGGCGGGGUAACGGCCCACCAAGGCAACGAUGGAUAGGGGAACUGAGAGGUUUAUCCCCCACACUGGUACUGAGACACGGACCAGACUCCUACGGGAGGCAGCAGUGAGGAAUAUUGGUCAAUGGACGCAAGUCUGAACCAGCCACGUCGCGUGAAGGAAGACGGCCCUACGGGUUGUAAACUUCUUUUAUACGGGAAUAAAGUGCCCCACGCGUGGGGUUUUGCAUGUACCGUAUGAAUAAGGAUCGGCUAACUCCGUGCCAGCAGCCGCGGUAAUUCACUAUCGAC